GGUCGUGGCUCAGAAGUAGAGCACUUGCCUAGCAUGUGAGAGGCACUGGGUUCAAUUCUCAGCACCA
Molecule: transfer RNA, 67 nt
Filed under: Ictidomys tridecemlineatus (thirteen-lined ground squirrel)
Lineage: Eukaryota; Metazoa; Chordata; Mammalia; Rodentia; Sciuridae
Also listed under: 1 other name
Description: Spermophilus tridecemlineatus (thirteen-lined ground squirrel) tRNA
Rfam family: tRNA
About the family: Transfer RNA (tRNA) molecules are approximately 80 nucleotides in length. Their secondary structure includes four short double-helical elements and three loops (D, anti-codon, and T loops).
Source: Rfam by way of RNAcentral